Molecule: long non-coding RNA, 245 nt
Filed under: Panax ginseng (ginseng)
Lineage: Eukaryota; Viridiplantae; Streptophyta; Magnoliopsida; Apiales; Araliaceae
Description: long non-coding RNA (PGIN_LNC017252)
Source: RNAcentral
UCAAUUAUUGGAGCGCGAUAAUGAGUCAACCCAUACCAGUGGUAGCAGUCAUCGAAGCGGUGACAACAAACGUGGAGGGAAUCAACAUACCAAAAAUGGUAACCACUUCGGUGGUAAUCAUGACUAAGACAAUAAAAGUGGAAAUUUCAAGAAGAGGAGAUUCAAUAAUGAUGGAAAGACGUCAGCACCAGCACCUAUUUUCAAGGAAGGAGAACGACCACCGAUCGUAUGCUUCAAGUGCGGAG